Molecule: ribosomal RNA, 433 nt
Filed under: uncultured bacterium
Lineage: Bacteria
Description: partial 16S ribosomal RNA
Rfam family: Bacterial small subunit ribosomal RNA
Source: RNAcentral
AACGAACGCUGGCGGCAUGCCUAGCACAUGCAAGUCGAACGAGACCUUCGGGUCUAGUGGCGCACGGGUGCGUAACGCGUGGGAACCUGCCCUUAGGUUCGGAAUAACUCCCCGAAAGGGGUGCUAAUACCGGAUAAUGUCUUCGGACCAAAGAUUUAUCGCCUUUGGAUGGGCCCGCGUUGGAUUAGCUAGUUGGUAGGGUAAAAGCCUACCAAGGCGACGAUCCAUAGCUGGUCUGAGAGGAUGAUCAGCCACACUGGGACUGAGACACGGCCCAGACUCCUACGGGAGGCAGGAGAGGGGAAUAUUGGACAAUGGGCGAAAGACUGAUACAGGAAUGCCGGGGGAGUAUAAAAGGAGUUAGGGUUGUAAAGCAGUUUUACACGGGAUGAUAAUGACAGUAAAGGGAGAAUAAGAUCCGGCUAACUACGUG